AUGCAGCCAUGCCGCGUGUGUGAAGAAGGCCUUCGGGUUGUAAAGCACUUUCAGCGAGGAGGAAAGGUUGUCGGUUAAUACCCGACAGCUGUGACGUUACUCGCAGAAGAAGCACCGGCUAACUCCGUGCCAGCAGCCGCGGUAAUACGGAGGGUGCGAGCGUUAAUCGGAAUUACUGGGCGUAAAGCGCAUGCAGGCGGCCAAGUCAGUCAGAUGUGAAAGCCCCGGGCUCAACCUGGGAAUUGCAUUUGAUACUGCUUGGCUAGAGUCCUUGAGAGGGGGGUAGAAUUUCAGGUGUAGCGGUGAAAUGCGUAGAGAUCUGAAGGAAUACCAGUGGCGAAGGCGGCCCCCUGGCAAGAGACUGACGCUCAGAUGCGAAAGCGUGGGGAGCAAACAGGAUUAGAUACCCUGGUAGUCCACGCCGUAAACGAUGUCUAUUAGGAGUCUGUGGCCUUGAGCUGUGGGUUCCAAAGCUAACGCAUUAAAUAG
This 489-nucleotide ribosomal RNA is filed under the name Ferrimonas sp. Its description in RNAcentral is "bacterial SSU rRNA". It matches the Rfam family "Bacterial small subunit ribosomal RNA", at positions 386 to 867 of the family's 1533-position model. The record is from RNAcentral. Lineage: Bacteria; Pseudomonadati; Pseudomonadota; Gammaproteobacteria; Alteromonadales; Ferrimonadaceae.